Long non-coding RNA from Phyllostomus discolor (pale spear-nosed bat), 1247 nucleotides. RefSeq lists it as uncharacterized. NCBI's taxonomy places the organism in Eukaryota, Metazoa, Chordata, Mammalia, Chiroptera, Phyllostomidae. The transcript is spliced from 2 exons. The record is from RefSeq and is a predicted model, not a curated record.
AAGGUGGGGCCCGUGUACUUUGGGGAAGUAAACCCCAAACAACUAGGAGGUGGGAGCCAAAGAGGCCAAGGAAGCCCUCGGCCAAUCGCAACGCGGAAGGAGCUGAUUGACGCGGGGGUAGGGCUGCACCAAGGAGACGGAGCUCCUGGGCCCCAGUGCUUGUGGGGCGGUUCUGUGGCUCUCCAGUCUAGGGUUGUGCCCUUUCUCCUUUCUUUUCCUCACUUGUUGGCUCCGACUCCUGAGGCCUCUCUCCCUCCUUUUCCGCAGAUUGACACCGCAGUAACCAAGUGGUAAAGUUUCCUGUUGUUUGUUUCUUUUAUAACAACUUAUUUCCAUGCCUAAGGGCACUUGCUGGCUCUCACCAUUAAUCAGCACUAUCGUUGGACAGCUAUUAAGGGAAGCCAAAGGAAAAGAUAACUCCCACCGUAUACCUAAGAUCUUGUAAAAAGUCACACGUGAAGGCUGCGGUUGGGUGGAAGAACACAAAUUGCCCUGCUGUUUUUGGCAAGUGCUGCUGCAGGCUUGUGACCUUUCCAGAGAGGCUCCCUUUAAGUUUUUUUGCAGAGAAAUUUAGAAAUGAAGCACGUGGGGCGUCUCUUUUGCGAAAGAAAGGGUCGUGGGCAGCCGCUGGGUGGCAUUCGGGAUCGUCCCCGUUCGCCUCCCAGCCCAGGCCUGGCCCCAGGAGCGAAGUGAGAGAGCCCCUCUGCUCACUCCUCCUCCCCCACCCGCCCAUGCCUCUGUCCGCCAGCGGCCUUGCUCUCUCAUCAUUUGUUGUGAUUUCCAAGGGCUGGAAUCAGGGAUGAUCUAGACGCUGUCCCUGCUCGCCGUCACUCAUUCAGCAGACCAGAGCGCCGCCCUUGGCCAGAAGCUCCCCACACCCGGGAACAGGUGUUUGUGGCUAUGAAGACACCAGAGGGAACUGAGCCCAGAGGAGAGAAGCUGCCGAAGUUUUUCUGGAGUAAGGAACCACCGGUGCAGGAUCGUGCUAGCCAUGCUAAGGAAACGGGAACUUCUGCGAGCAGUGGAGAGCUCCUGGAAGAUUUCUAUUUGCAUUUACAAGGUGACUCUCCAAAUUGAACCGCUAAUGAGAGCAAAUUGGCAAAACUUUAAACCCACAAAUUGGUAAUUUAAUCCAAGAAGCCUUUGAUAGGGGUCAAGGCUACUCUUAAUUUCAUUUUGAGGGAAUUUUAAGUGGUUACAGCUCUUUUUGUAAGGCUAUUGGCAGUCUUAUUAAAUUGUAUAUAUCC